UCAGUUCCUGCAUAGGCAAAAAAAUUAAUUGUGCUCUCCUUUAAACACCAGCAUUAAUAUUCCAACAGGAAGUACAGUUACUGGUUCUGACUGGGACCCUGAUCUUACAUAGACUCAAGGACUAUAUAUUCACCAUGAAAUACAGUCACUGCUAUGAAGAACUUGCCUUCUACAGUAAACAGGACAGACAGACAAAAAAAUCAGAAGAAGAAAAGUUUGUCGACUCGUAGAAAUGGUAGACUUAUGAUCCCAGCCUGGUACCCACAGAUCCUGCUGCCAAGCCAGGGCUACUGGCUGUCACCAGCUCCUGUUCCCUACUUUUGUAACAGAUGCUUCAAGUCAGAAUGAAGCUACUUAGAUACUACUUUGUAAGUAGUAAUGUAAGGUAAGCAGUAGCUAUAAAUUUAAAAACCAUUUAUGUAUAGCAGCAUAAAUUACCCCUGCACAGAGGUCAACACAGU
Non-coding RNA from Anas platyrhynchos (mallard), 461 nucleotides. The record is from RefSeq and is a predicted model, not a curated record. NCBI's taxonomy places the organism in Eukaryota, Metazoa, Chordata, Aves, Anseriformes, Anatidae.